AACGAACGCUGGCGGCAUGCCUAACACAUGCAAGUCGAACGAGAUCUUCGGGUCUAGUGGCGCACGGGUGCGUAACGCGUGGGAAUCUGCCCUUUGGUUCGGAAUAACAGUUGGAAACGACUGCUAAUACCGGAUGAUGACGAAAUUCCAAAGAUUUAUCGCCAGAGGAUGAGCCCGCGUAGGAUUAGCUAGUUGGUGUGGUAAAGGCGCACCAAGGCGACGAUCCUUAGCUGGUCUGAGAGGAUGAGCAGCCACACUGGGACUGAGACACGGCACAGACUCCUACGGGAGGCAGCAGUGGGGAAUAUUGGACAAUGGGCGAAAGCCUGAUCCAGCAAUGCCGCGUGAGUGAUGAAGGCCUUAGGGUUGUAAAGCUCUUUUACCCGGGAUGAUAAUGACAGUACCGGGAGAAUAAGCUCCGGCUAACUCCGUGCCAGCCGCCGCGGUAA
Molecule: ribosomal RNA, 449 nt
Filed under: uncultured bacterium
Lineage: Bacteria
Description: partial 16S ribosomal RNA
Rfam family: Bacterial small subunit ribosomal RNA
Source: RNAcentral